This 22-nucleotide microRNA is filed under the name Human gammaherpesvirus 8. Its description in RNAcentral is "miR-K10". The record is from RNAcentral. Lineage: Duplodnaviria; Heunggongvirae; Peploviricota; Herviviricetes; Herpesvirales; Orthoherpesviridae.
UAGUGUUGUCCCCCUGAGUGGC